UACGUAGGGCGCAAGCGUUUGUCCGGAAUUACUGGGCGUAAAGAGCUCGUAGGUGGUUUGUCGCGUUGUUCGUGAAAACUCACAGCUCAACUGUGGGCGUGCGGGCGAUACGGGCAGACUAGAGUACUGCAGGGGAGACUGGAAUUCCUGGUGUAGCGGUGGAAUGCGCAGAUAUCAGGAGGAACACCGGUGGCGAAGGCGGGUCUCUGGGCAGUAGCUGACACUGAGGCGCGACAGCGUGGGGAGCAAACAGG
Molecule: ribosomal RNA, 254 nt
Filed under: uncultured bacterium
Lineage: Bacteria
Description: partial 16S ribosomal RNA
Rfam family: Bacterial small subunit ribosomal RNA
Source: RNAcentral